ACUGGGGUAAAAUAUUUUUCGUAGUGCUGCAACCGUUGUGCGCUGAAACCGGAAGUGACGCGCGUAUACGUGACUCCUGACCUUUCUGCUUGCUUCUUGGAAUAUGUUACUGCGCAGACUCCAACACUUAGUGUGAUUCGCUCGGGCAAGGAGGCUCGGGCUACCGUUUCGACGUACUCUCCUAGAAACUCCUCCAGCAACUCUCAAGCACAAGGAACCAAGAGUUAAAUACCAAGAGAGACUAUUGACUCAAAGGCGAACCAUGUGUUACUCAGCACCAAGAGACCACGUCUAGCGAAAUAAUAGACGUUAAACGAGGACAACAACAACAACAACAACAACAACAACUACCACCGGUGUACUACAUCUUUAAUAGACAGCAUCUUUCAUUUAACUACAGGCCAGGUACCAGUGACAACAUCUAUGCAAGAUGGAAACCUUCAUUAAAAACUGCCUGCAUUUCUAUUACCCAAUUUGUUGAUAUGAUAUUCCUAGCUUGUCUUGAAAGUUUGGAUUUUUGUAGCCUAUAUACAUAUAUAUAUCGCAAACUUCUAAAACACCACUGUACCAUGAAGAUAGUUGAACUUUUUUCCAACUUGUGUAACAGAUGAAAUCUUAUGCUAGUACUGUAACAGUUAUUUUACUAAGGAUCAAUAGUGCAGUGCACAUUGGGAUGUGGUCUGUGCUUGACAUUAAGCAUAUAUUUUGAGACUGUGUUUGGCAUUGUAGAACUUCUUAUAACGUUAGUUGUAAGAUGACAAUACUUUGGAGACAUUAGACUUUGGUCGUCUUGGUCAGAUAUUUAGAAGAUGAAAAGAAGGCUUCAAGGAACUUUGAGACAUAGAUUAAACAUUUAAAGGGUAGCUUUGUUGGAGUCAGUUGCUUGCCAGGUAUCUUGUCAAUAUUUACACUUGCUAAUAUGUCUCUCUUUGGUUGACAACAAAUUUGAAAAAGUUAUGUGUACUUGUCUAGGGGACAUAUAUGUACAUUCAAAAAUGCUGAUUCAGGAGUGUCAUUGAUGCAAGGAUUUUAUCAAGAACUAACUGUAAAAGCCACUAGGUCUGGCUCAUGAUACGAAUGAUAAAUUUAAUUUUCAAUCAUUUUGGCUUGAGCAGUAGUUAACUAGCGUACAUGUAAACAAAAGGACAUAAUGUGAAUCUUCAUAUUUAUUCAUAGUGCCUUUCGGGUGUUUUGUGAUAUGAAUGCGGAAACGUUGGUGUAAGUAUAAUUGCAUAGAUGCAUCUUUAAUGAGGACCAAUUCAUUUCUAAGAUCUCUAAUGGUCUCUAAUGCAUGUUGCAUGCCUACCUGCCAGGCUAGUGUGCUAGCUCUCAAGAUUUUAUACACUUCAGCAAGUUCAGCUGUACAAUGUACAAUGAUGUAGUGUUACAACAAUGGCUGUGAAUGACGUUUCAGAAUUACAAUGUUCAAUGAUGUAAUGAGUCUGUAAUGUCAAUAAAUUAGAUUGCUGUGAA
Branchiostoma floridae (Florida lancelet) is the source of this 1473-nucleotide long non-coding RNA. RefSeq lists it as uncharacterized. The transcript has 2 exons. Lineage: Eukaryota; Metazoa; Chordata; Leptocardii; Amphioxiformes; Branchiostomatidae. The record is from RefSeq and is a predicted model, not a curated record.